GAACACAAAAUGGCGACACGUGGUUAGCAUUCGUCGCCAACGAGAAAUUGGGGUCGGCCCGAAAGCUCUAGAAUGCACCCCUAUUCCUCCCCGGGGCCAUUCCCGCUCAACGAGUUUUAUGACCUAAAAAACCCCACAGGCUGGUCUGAAGAGGAAGACACUUAAAGAUGAAGUGCUUAAUUCAAGGUCACAGAAUGUCGGGGAUGGACCUCCAGAUUUCCUUACUGAGACAGAGUCUUCUUGCUAUGUUGCCCAGGCUGGUCUUGAACUCCUAACCUCAAGCGAUCCUCCCAUCUUGGCCUCCCAGGUGUCAGGAUUACAGGCAUGUGCUAUCACACCCAACCUGAUACAUUGCCUUUAUAAAUUUUUUUUUCUUUAUUCUAAAAAACAGAAAAAACAAAACUGGAUACAUGUGCAGAACAUGCAGACCAAGUGUGUUGGGGACUUGAGAUAUGUACAUGAGUGUUUGUGAUGUUUCCUGGUGAAAGCACAGGUGAGACGUGGUCUUGUAACACAGUGGUUAAGAAUGUGACUUUGGAGCCAGCCUGCUAGGGGCUGAAUUCUGACUCAGCCAUUUAUUAACUGUGUG
RNAcentral lists this non-coding RNA (589 nucleotides) under Pongo abelii (Sumatran orangutan). The record is from RNAcentral. Lineage: Eukaryota; Metazoa; Chordata; Mammalia; Primates; Hominidae.